UGGGGAAUUUUGGACAAUGGGGGAAACCCUGAUCCAGCCAUCCCGCGUGUGCGAUGAAGGCCUUCGGGUUGUAAAGCACUUUUGGCAGGAAAGAAACGUCGCGGGUUAAUACCCCGCGAAACUGACGGUACCUGCAGAAUAAGCACCGGCUAACUACGUGCCAGCAGCCGCGGUAAUACGUAGGGUGCAAGCGUUAAUCGGAAUUACUGGGCGUAAAGCGUGCGCAGGCGGUUCGGAAAGAAAAAUGUGAAAUCCCAGAGCUUAACUUUGGAACUGCAUUUUUAACUACCGGGCUAGAGUGUGUCAGAGGGAGGUGGAAUUCCGCGUGUAGCAGUGAAAUGCGUAGAUAUGCGGAGGAACACCGAUGGCGAAGGCAGCCUCCUGGGAUAACACUGACGCUCAUGCACGAAAGCGUGGGGAGCAAACAGGAUUAGAUACCCUGGUAGUCCACGCCCUAAACGAUGUCAACUAGCUGUUGGGGCCUUCGGGCCUUGGUAGCGCAGCUAACGCGUGAAGUUGACCGCCUGGGGAGUACGGUCGCAAGAUUAAAACUUAAAUGAAUUGACGGGGGUCAUAGCUG
Molecule: ribosomal RNA, 580 nt
Filed under: uncultured bacterium
Lineage: Bacteria
Description: partial 16S ribosomal RNA
Rfam family: Bacterial small subunit ribosomal RNA
Source: RNAcentral